This 521-nucleotide ribosomal RNA is filed under the name uncultured bacterium. RNAcentral describes it as "bacterial SSU rRNA". It matches the Rfam family "Bacterial small subunit ribosomal RNA", at positions 988 to 1509 of the family's 1533-position model. The record is from RNAcentral.
CCAGAGAACUUUCCAGAGAUGGAUUGGUGCCUUCGGGAACUCUGAGACAGGUGCUGCAUGGCUGUCGUCAGCUCGUGUUGUGAAAUGUUGGGUUAAGUCCCGCAACGAGCGCAACCCUUUAUCCUUUGUUGCCAGCGGUUAGCCGGGAACUCAAAGGAGACUGCCAGUGAUAAACUGGAGGAAGGUGGGGAUGACGUCAAGUCAUCAUGGCCCUUACGAGUAGGGCUACACACGUGCUACAAUGGCGCAUACAAAGAGAAGCGACCUCGCGAGAGCAAGCGGACCUCAUAAAGUGCGUCGUAGUCCGGAUUGGAGUCUGCAACUCGACUCCAUGAAGUCGGAAUCGCUAGUAAUCGUAGAUCAGAAUGCUACGGUGAAUACGUUCCCGGGCCUUGUACACACCGCCCGUCACACCAUGGGAGUGGGUUGCAAAAGAAGUAGGUAGCUUAACCUUCGGGAGGGCGCUUACCACUUUGUGAUUCAUGACUGGGGUGAAGUCGUAACAAGGUAAGCGUAGUGCU